GGAAUACCCGCUGAACUUAAGCAUAUC
RNAcentral lists this ribosomal RNA (27 nucleotides) under Trichoderma aureoviride. RNAcentral's name for it is "partial 28S ribosomal RNA". RNAcentral also lists the same sequence under 2 other names. Lineage: Eukaryota; Fungi; Ascomycota; Sordariomycetes; Hypocreales; Hypocreaceae. The record is from RNAcentral.